Molecule: ribosomal RNA, 460 nt
Filed under: uncultured bacterium
Lineage: Bacteria
Description: partial 16S ribosomal RNA
Rfam family: Bacterial small subunit ribosomal RNA
Source: RNAcentral
CCUACGGGUGGCUGCAGUGAGGAAUAUUGGUCAAUGGACGAGAGUCUGAACCAGCCAAGUAGCGUGAAGGAUGACUGCCCUAUGGGUUGUAAACUUCUUUUAUAUGGGAAUAAAAUGUUCCAUGUGUGGUAUUUUGUAUGUACCAUAUGAAUAAGGAUCGGCUAACUCCGUGCCAGCAGCCGCGGUAAUACGGAGGAUCCGAGCGUUAUCCGGAUUUAUUGGGUUUAAAGGGAGCGUAGGUGGACUGUUAAGUCAGUUGUGAAAGUUUGCGGCUCAACCGUAAAAUUGCAGUUGAAACUGGUUGUCUUGAGUACAGCAGAGGUGGGCGGAAUUCGUGGUGUAGCGGUGAAAUGCUUAGAUAUCACGAAGAACUCCGAUUGCGAAGGCAGCUUACUGGACUGCAACUGACACUGAUGCUCGAAAGUGUGGGUAUCAAACAGGAUUAGAUACCCUUGUAGUC